CUAUCAAGAAAAAAAAAAGAAGAAACAAGGAAAUCCUUGGGGGAAACCUGCUCCGCACUAGGGAAGUUUCAUUCCUUAACCUAAUUCUUUGGGGGACAAGGAGGGGGGAUUGAGCAUUUGGUUCGGUUCAAAACUAAACUAAACUGAACAAACUGAAAACUGAAUUUUAUGAAUUUAUGAAAAUCGAACCGAACUAAACCAGAGAGAAAACUGAAUUGAAUCAAAUUGUUCAGUUCUGUUAGUUGGGUUAUAAUUUUAGACCUUAUUUUUUAGUGUUCUAAAAUUCAAAUUGUGUGUUUCAAUCUUGAUUUAAAAGAAAAAAUAAUAAUAAAUUUUAAAUUGAAAACUACAAAAAUGAAAGAAAAAAAAAGAAAAACUUCAAGUUCAUAUACUCAUCAUAUGAAAUCAUCCAAAAACAACUAUUUGGUUCAAUUUAAUUUUGUCAAAAUAUUUUGGCUAAAAAUGAAUGGAAUAACUAAAAUUUUUAAAAUCAAAACUGAACCGAAUCGAAAUUUUAAAUUUAUUUGAUUCAAUCGGUUAUUUCAGUUGGAACCAAAUGCUGCCCAUCCCUAGAUGGGGGAGCUAUCCCGUCUCUCAACCCACCUUAUUGUCAUCCCUAUAAAUAUGCAUGCGUAGCACCUUGUGGUAAAGUUUUGGAAUAGAUUAUACUUCUUUAAUUUAGAAUUAUUUUCGUUGAGACUCAGGAAUGCAUUUCCUUAAUUUGUGAAGGGAGGAUCAAGUGAGCCUUAGGUGGUUCCAUGUUGAGGCCGUAAUCAAAUGUGUUUUACUUCAGUUUUAUACCAAGUUGAAUGCCUUGGUUAUAUUCUCAUAGCAAUAAUGCUUUAUUUUCCAAGCAAACAUGAAUUUAAAUAAACUACCAGUAUUUUGUCCACAUAUAUUGAGAGUAGUGUAGUCUAAAAUCUGCAUGUCAGUAUCAGUUUUGCAUGGGUUAUUACUUGUAAUUUCAAUCAGGCUGUGGUUGUGACAGCUGCUUAGAAGUAAACUUAUGAUACAGCUGCUUAGAAGUAAACUUAUAUCAUAGUACAAAAGCUAUGGUGAUUGAUCACUUUCCAUUUGGAUCUGUUUCCUUUGUUUUAGUUUUAGAAAUUGUUAGCAAAAGCCCAGAAAAGGGAACAGUGGGCCGUGGAUCCAAUUAACUGAAAGUUUAUUAUAGAAAGAGGCUGAGGAAGAAAGAGGAAGGUUCUUCCAAGGAUUAUUCCAGAAUGGACAGCUGGAAUUAGUUAGAAAGAAUCUGCUGCCAAAUGAUUGCAAAUGUUGUGGAUAAAUAAGAAGAGAGGACAAGUUUGUUUUUAUCUUUUCUUCUAUUCUGAUUGGUAAUACAACUUUCUUGCUGUGGGCUAGUAACGGUUGUUAUUAGCAAUCAUUCUGUACUCUUGUUUUCCAAGGAAUGGCUAUGAAUCACCUCUGAGUUUUCUCCUUUCUCUUCCUUUUCCUUCUAGUCUAUAUUUCAGGUUCUUCAUUCUAUCAAUAUUGGUCCAAUCUGCCAUGCUUCUCUCUGUCAUGCCCAAAACCAGGAUGAAAGGGCGUGUAGAACAAAUAGAGAAGAACAUGUCCACCUUGGAGGAGUUGUUAGCUGCCAUGAAAAUCGAACAGGAGCAACGCUUCUCUUCUUUCCAACAAGAACAGAAUCAGAAAUUUUCUCACCUUGAAUCUUUAAUCACUUCCUUUAUUCCUAGUAAAGCUGUGUUUGUCGAAGGCACCGCUUCUUCUCCUGUGACCUCCAUGGGCACGAAUUCACUUCCACGAGUUGUGUCCCAACCAGUCCUUUUGGAUGAUACCUCGAUGGCCAUCAAAAAAUUGAGCUUCCUAAUUUUGGAGGUAUAGAUCCAAUGGGAUGGUUAGCAAGAGCAGAACAGCAUUUUGCAUUGAAUCACACUUGAGAAGAGAUGAAAGUGCAGCUCGCUUUAGUGUGUAUGACAGGAUCAUCUCUUCAUUGGCUGCGCUGGCUUUGCCAGGCUAAUCCCUAUCUUUUAUAGUCUCAGUUUUCUAGAGACUUACUGCAUCGUUAUGGUAGGGAUAUUAAAGCCAAUCCAUAUGAAAAUUAGCUACAAUUCAAUUCAUCAGGGAGUUUCGGUGGAUGAAUAUAUUGAUGCUUUCAUAGAAUUAUUGGCUCAAGUAGAAGGAUUAACUGACCAACAAUCCCCAGGCUUCUUUCUCAGCGGGCUUAGAGAGGAGAUUCGAGUACGUAUUCCAUCUCAUGACACUACUUCUCUGUCUCAUACAAUGAAUCUCGCUCGGGAAAUUGAGCUGGAGAUUCACUUUUUUCGGCCGCUUUCUUCCUGGAAUCGGUCUUCUUCUAAGGACAUAAAAUGGUCCUCUGGAUAUGGACUUCGUUCUGUGCCCAAUUUUCAACCCAAGUUCUCCACCCUCAUUCCUAAAGCCUAGCCCCUUUCUCACGCAGUUAAAAACUCUUUACUGCCUCCAGCUCAGCCCCACAAUCAACCUCUCCUUCCUCCCACCAAAUCAACACCGCUUAUGACCACCACUUCCACAAAUCGUCAACCCUUCCUCUCAAGCACAAAUAGACCCAACAGACAGUAUUCUCAUCAAGAAUUUUUAGACCUCCGAGCAAAAGGGUUAUGUUAUAAAUGUAAAUAACCUUUUCAUUUGAUGCAUGAAUGCCCUAAUAAGACCCUCCGAGCCUUUAUUAUCGGUGAAGAUGAAGUACCCAACCUUUCUAAUGAUUCUGAAUUUGAGAAGUCUGAAUUAGCGGCUUCAAUGGUAGAAAUCUCUUAUAAAUACCAUUUUUCCCAAAUGAAACUACCAUUCUACUUGGUUGGAGGGAUUUCAUUCCAAAGACAAUGAAAUUGCCGGGAACUAUUCACGGAAUACCCAUCACAGUCAUGGUGGACAGUGGGGCCAGUCAUAACGUUAUCUCUGGUGACUUAGUUUCGAAAUUGCAGUUGAAGGUGGAUAAUACCUUUUGUUUGGAGUUAAAUUAGGUGAUGGUCACAAAGUCCAAACCACUUGUAGAUGCAAGGAUGUUCCUAUCCACAUGGGUGAGUUUCUCCUAAAAGUCGAUUGCUAUAUUUUUCUCUUGGUAGAGUUGAUCUUAUUUUGGGGUGGCUUGGUUGUAAACCUUAGGAGAGGUUACGGCAAAUUGGGGCACUAUGCAAACGUCGUUCUAUCACCAGGACAAACAGAUCACUCUAUCGGGUAAUCCAUAAAUGCUACAAGCUCAAAUUUCUACUCCUCAAGUUCGCAAGUUAACUGCAGUGGAUUAUUGUGUUCUGUUAUGGGACUGUUCUAUUCUAGAAACUACUGAACAAUGGCAUAAUGAGAUUUCUACAGAUCAGCAACAACAGAUGGAUGAGUUGCUUCAGUGUUAUACAGAGUUGUUCAGGGAAUCUUCGAUAUUACCUCCACAUAAACCAACAGACUAUGUUAUUCCCUUCACCCAAGAACUUCAGCAGUAAACAUCAGGCCGUAUAGAUACGGGUACCACCAGAAAGACAAAAUUGAGAAAUUGGUGGAAGAUAUGCUUGCUACUGGAAUAAUUAGACCCCGUUCUAGUCUUUCCUCAAGUCCAGUUUUAUUGGUUCGCAAGAAAGACGGAGGUUGGAGAUUUUGCAUGGACUAUCGAGCUUUAAACCAAGUCACAAUUCCAUGUAAGUAUCCGAUGCCAAUCAUCACUAAAUUAAUGGAUGAACUACAUGGUGCAAAAUAUUUCUCUAAGUUAGACUUGAAGUUUGAAUCUCAUCAAAUUCGAGUUUCAAAAUUAGAUGUUCCUAAAACGGCAUUCCGUACCCACUCUGGCCAUUAUGAAUUUGUAGUCAUGCCUUUUGGGUUGACUAACGCACCAGCUACUUUUCAAGUUACAAUGAAUGAAUUAUUCAGGCCCUAUCUACGACAAGUUAUUCUGGUAUUCUUCGACGAUAUUUUGAUUUACAGUCGAACUUGGGAAGAUCAUAUACAACAUGUACAAAUAGUUAUGCAUUUGCUAGCACAACAUCAAUUUCGAAUUAAUAAGAAGAAGAGCUCUUUCAGGAGAACCAUGAUAGAAUAUUUGGGGCAUGUCAUCUCUGUUCAGGGGUCUCUAUGGAUCAAGCAAAAGUUGCAAGUGUUGUAAAUUGCCCUCAACCUAAGUCAGUAAAAGCGGUGCACGCCUUUCUGGAAUUAACUGGAUACUGUUGACUUAUUUGCUGAUCCUAACUGAUUCUAGGGAUAUAAUUUGAUUUGAUUUGAUUUGAUUAGGAUUCUUAAUUAUCUCUGUAAUUAUUAUUUGAUUAUUUGCUUCCUGUUUAGAUAUAAUUCUUUGUAUAUAAAUAGUCAUAUAAACCAAUUGUAAAGAUUAAGAGUGAAAUACAAGAAUUCUCUAAAUUUUUCCAAAAUUCUUCAUAGUAUCAGAGCCUUUUCCUGAUUUUAGGGUUCAAAUUUAAUUUUUUUCUCUUUAGGGUUUCAAAACCCUAGAUCUACCUUUUUUAGUACUAACCCAUCUAGGAGCCUUUCCUCCUCUCACUGCCGGCACCAGGACUGUCGUCGGCCGAUCGCCUAGCUCCGACGCUGAAAAAGCCCGCACGUGAGGCUCAUGCGCCUCCCUUUCCCGGCGCGUGACCAAUCGCCUGACACUGCUUCACUGCUCCGAUCACUUCGGCGACGAUUCCGACCAUCUUUUCGGCCUUCCCGUGCCGCUACCCGGUCUUUUGGUGAAUCGGUUGGGCUCUCUUGUGUGUACAAUCUUGGGUACCUCCUAUUCUUUCACGGUUCACAAAUCUUUACCAUGGCAGAAGGUAAAAGAGUCUCGAUUCCUAACUCUGUUUCCUCAUCCUCCGGUGUCACAUCUAACUUUGUAAAGUCAGGUAAUGCUUCAUUUCUUAAUAUUGUUCCAUGGAUUAUCGAUUCUGGUGCGAAUGACACAUGACAGGCUCUUCUAAAAGCUUUCUCAAUUAUUUUCCUUCUCUAAUCAAAGAUAUUGUCAGAAUUGCUGAUAGCUCUUUUACUCCCAUAUCCGGAACAGGUUCUGUUAUUUGCACAUCCAAUAUUAAAUUAUCAUCUGUCCUUCGUGUUUUCCACUUUUCUGUCAACCUUUUAUCUGUCAGUGCUAUUACCAAUGCCCUUAAUUGUAAAAUUGAAUUCUUUCCUGAUCAUUGUGUUAUUCAGGAUCUUCGCACAGGAAAGAGGAUUGGUAAUGGUAGGCUGCAUGAUGGCUUAUAUAUGUUGGAGGGUGAUCCAGCUUCUUUGAUAUCUCAAGCCUGUUUUGGAGAAAAUAAGGAUGUCAAUCAGGAAAUAAUACAGUGGCACAGACGGUUAGGGCAUUCAUUAUUUUUUGCCUUAGAAAAACUUUAUCCUAAUUUGUUUGCUAGAACUCAGUUUGAUUCUCUAUUUUGUGAUACUUGUGAGUAUGCUAAACACACUAGAACAUCCUAUCCUUUGAGUCAUAAUAAAAGUCAAAUUCCUUUUGCGACUAUUCAUUUUGAUGUUUGGGGGCCUACUCAAACUGUCUCCUUGUCUGGUAAUCGAUGGUUUGUCACAUUUAUUGAUUGUUGCACUCAAAUGACUUGGGUCUAUUUGAUUAAAGCUAAAAGUGAUGUCUUUUCUUGUUUUCAAUCCUUUCAUAAGAUGGUUUGUACUCAAUUUGAUACUAAGGUGAAAAUUUUGAGAUCUGACAAUGGAAGAGAAUACAUUGAUAGUAGCUUUUCUACUUAUUUGGAGAGUAAUGGGAUAGUACACCAGACUAGUUGUCCUUGUACUAGUGCUCAAAAUGGCGUUGCUGAGAGGAAAAAUAGGCAUCUAUUGGAGGUAGCUCGAUCUCUUAUAUUCACCAUGAAUCUACCCAAAGCAUAUUGGGGAGAUGCAAUUUUUGCAUCUGCUUAUCUUAUCAAUAGAAUGCCUCUCAAGACCCUUGACUUUAUGAGUCCUUUGGCGGUUCUACAAGGGAAAAAUUCAUACGUUGUUCCACCAAAAGUAUUUGGGUGUUUUGCUUUGUCCAUACUAGGACAGUAGGAAAAUUGGAUCCCAAGGCCCUUAAAUGUGUAUUUGUUGGGUAUUCUCCAACACAAGGGAUACAAGUGUUAUCAUCCUCCCUCUAGGAAAUACUUAGUUAGUAUGGAUGUUACCUUCCGAGAAAACUGAACCCCACUUUAGUACCACCCACUCACCUCUUCAGAGGGAGAAUAAUGAGUAAGAAGAGGUGAUCCCGAAUUCUGUGAUUCUGAAUGAUAUGGUUCAACUAGAAAGUUUGACUUCUAGUAGACAGGGGGAGAUGUCCAAUCAGGGAGAGAGAACUGGUCGUUUGGACAAGUCAGAUUUGAGAAGGUAUUCGAGGAGAGACAAGGCAGAUGAAGCCAUUAUACAGUCUACUUAGAGUCAAGAAUCUUCUCCUGGUGAGUUACCCAGUCAUGAAUCUUCUUCUGGUGAGUUACCCACAACUCUUUUUCUGGUGAGUUACCCACAACUCUUUUUCUGGUGAGUUACCCACAACUCUUGAAUGUUUCAAUGACUUAGAUAAACCUAUUGCACAAAGAAAAGGGGUCAGAUCUUGUACUAAACACCCUAUUUCUAAUUUUGUUUCUUAUGAAUCCUUAUCUCCUUCCUAUAGAGCCUUUGCCUUGUCUAUUUCCUCUGUGUCUAUUCCACAGGAUUAGAAAAAAGCUCUUGUAGAUCCUAAAUGGAAGAAAGCAAUGAUUGAAGAGAUGAAAGUAUUGGCUAAAAAUGAGACUUGGGAGCUUGUCACUCUCCCACCUAGGAAGAAACUCGUCGGCUGUAAAUGGGUGUUCACAGUGAAACACAAAGCUGAUAGCACAAUUGAACGGUUUAAGGCCAGAUUGGUUGCUAAAGGAUUCACCCAAACCUAUGGAGUGGAUUACCAAAAGACAUUUGCCCCGGUUGCAAAAAUGAACUCAAUCAGAGUUUUGUUAUCCUGCAUAGCCAACUUGAACUGGGACUUGCAACAGUUUGAUGCGAAGAAUGCUUUCCUCCAUGGAGAUUUAGAGGAAGAAGUGUUCAUGAAAAUUCCUCCUGGGUUCGCUGAUGAGAAGACACAAGAAAAAGUGUGCAGGUUAAAAAAGACUUUGUAUGGGCUAAAACAAUCUCUUAGAGCUUGGUUUAACAGGUUUAGCAGAGUCAUGAUAUCCUUUGAUUACCAACAAAGCAAUGCUGAUCACACUCUAUUGGAAGACAUCCCUUUCAAGCAGUGUAUGGAAGACAUCCUCCAACACUGCAACAAUUUUUACCGAGACUAAAACAGAAACAGUAGCCCAAGAAUUGGUCAUCCGAGAUGAAUUGUUGAGACAAUUAACUUACAAUCUAAAACGGGCUCAACAACAAAUGGCAAGAUCAACUAAUAAGCAUAGAAGAGAUGUUCAAUACAAGGUGGGAGAUUCUGUUUUUCUGAAAUUUAGGUCACACCGCCAGACCACUCUCAAGAAAGUAAUCAAUCCAAAGCUCUCCUUGCUGUUUCGGUGCUUUCCACAUACUGCAAAAAGUUGAAAGUGUAGCGUAUAAGCUACAACUCCCUACUUCUGCAAAAAUACACCCAAUAUUCCAUGUUUCACAACUCAAAAAAGUAGUGGGCAAGUAUCUGGUUCUAUCUGAAUUACCACAAGAAAGGCCAUAGAAGAUGAGUGAAUUGAACCGGAGGAGAUUCUAAAAAUUUAGGAAUUAUUCAUUGAGGGGACUAGGAUAACACAAGUUAUGAUCAAGUGGAAGGGGCAAACAGCAGAUGAAGCCACCUGGAUGAAUCACUAUGACCUUGUCAAUCAAUUUCCAAACUUUAGCCUUGAGGACAAAGCUGAUCUCUUAGGGGACAAUAUUGUUAGCAAAAGCCCAGAAAAGGGAAAAGUGGGCCGUAGAUUCAAUUCACUGAAAGUUUAUUAUAGAAAGAGGCUGAGGAAGAAAGAGGAAGGUUCUUCUAAGUAUUAUUCCAGAAUGGACAGCUGGAAUUAGUUAUAAGGAAUCUGCUGCCAAAUGAUUGGGCGAUGAUUGCAAAUGUUGCAGAUAAAUAAGAGGAGUGGACAAAUUUGUUUUUAUCUUUUCUUCUAUUUUGAUUUGUAAUACAGCUUCCUUGCUGUGGGCCAGUAACAGUUGUUAUUAGCAAUCAUUCUGUACUCCUGUUUUCUGAGGAAUGGCUAUGAAUCAAGUUUUCUCCUUUUUCUUCUAGUCUAUAUUUCAGGUUCUUCACUCUAUUAGAAAUAUUUAGCACCCAAAUGCAAAAUAAUGAUAUCUAUUGCUAAGAAAUCUUAAAUUUAUCAUACUCCGCAGUCAAGACAUUGUGUGUUAGGGCUUCUGGAGUUGGGAUGGAUAAUGAGAAAGCAUAGAAGAAAUAAAGAAUAAAUGAAGGAUAGUAGUCAAAGGAUGAGUGGCAAGGGUGUAAUUAGUUGUAGCUGAUGUAGCAGUUGUAACUUGUAAGUGAACAAGAGAGAGUCAAGUAGUAGGUCGUUAAGGCAGUUAGGUUGUUAUAGAGCUACUGACAGCAGCUAGAAGCUGGUUACUAGCAUAUACUGAGUACGUUAUAUGAAUUCAGUAAUGUGAGCUUGUUAUUCAUUCCUGAAUUAUCAAGAAUAAUAUCUUCUCUUCUAAGUUCUAAUCAGUUCUCAUUCUCAUCUACCUAAAAUCUCUCUGUUUAUACUAUUUCCUUUCUAAUUCUCUGUUAGGGUUUCUGAAACCCUAACAGAAACCAAUACCAUAUAUUAUCCAAGCCUUUCCUUCCUUGGAAUUCGACUGGUAUGCAUAUUUCUUUCUGGAUGAGUUUGUCAUCAG
Molecule: long non-coding RNA, 8718 nt
Filed under: Manihot esculenta (cassava)
Lineage: Eukaryota; Viridiplantae; Streptophyta; Magnoliopsida; Malpighiales; Euphorbiaceae
Description: long non-coding RNA (MESC_LNC002915)
Source: RNAcentral